GUGAUAAAGUACCAGAUGAAAAUCCUGUGCUUGAGCAAGAGUCAAUGUCAGAAACUCAACUGGAAGUAAAGAAACAAAGACCUUCUAAAGAAAGAAGACUCAGUUCUCAUGAAAAAAUAUCAGAUGCAAAUCUUAUGCAUGACCAUCAAGAAUCAAUGUCAAAAAGCCAAAUGACGGUAAAGCAACAAAAAGAGGAAAAACACACUCAAGAUGAAGUACCAGAUGGAAAUCAUAUGCUUGACCAUCAAGAGUUAAUGUCAGAAUCAGAGAUUCAAGUGAAGAAAGAAAGCUUUCACACAGGGGAAAGAUUUACUAGUAAGUGCAAAAACUACAGAAAAAUUUAUAUUGUUUAAAAUUAAACUCAUUAGAUGUU
This 373-nucleotide long non-coding RNA is filed under the name Bos mutus (wild yak). RNAcentral describes it as "lncRNA (ENSBMUG00000015668.1)". Lineage: Eukaryota; Metazoa; Chordata; Mammalia; Artiodactyla; Bovidae. The record is from RNAcentral.